This 460-nucleotide ribosomal RNA is filed under the name uncultured bacterium. Its description in RNAcentral is "partial 16S ribosomal RNA". It matches the Rfam family "Bacterial small subunit ribosomal RNA", at positions 338 to 795 of the family's 1533-position model. The record is from RNAcentral.
CCUACGGGAGGCAGCAGUGAGGAAUAUUGGUCAAUGGACGCGAGUCUGAACCAGCCAAGUAGCGUGAAGGAUGACUGCCCUACGGGUUGUAAACUUCUUUUAUAGGGGAAUAAACUGUGCCACGUGCGCGAUUUUGUAUGUAACUUAUGAAUAAGGCUCCGCUAACUUCGUGCCAGCAGCCGCGGUAAUACGGAGGAUGCGAGCGUUAUCCGGAUUUAUUGGGUUUAAAGGGAGCGUAGGUGGGUUGUUAAGUCAGUUGUGAAAGUGUGCGGCUCAACCGGAAAAUUGCAGUUGAUACUGGCAGCCUUGAGUGCAGGAGAGGUAAGCGGAAUUCGUGGUGUAGCGGUGAAAUGCUUAGAUAUCACGAAGAACUCCGAUGGCGAAGGCAGCUUACUGGACUGUAACUGACACUGAGGCACGAAAGUGUGGGGAUCAAACAGGAUUAGAUACCCCAGUAGUC